GCAGAAGCGCGGUCUGUCGCUUGUCGUGAGACAAGAGGAAAGUCCGGGCAACCCAGGGCAGCAUGUUUCCUAACGGGAAGCCGGCGGCGACGCCGGGGAUAAGUGACAGAAAACAACCGCCACUGUUCUCCUUCAUGAGAUGUGGUAAGGGUGAAAAGGCGGGGUAAGAGCCCACCGGGCCGUAUGGCGACAUGCGGCGCCGCACAUCCCAUGUGUUGCAAAGCCAAAUAUACCGGCAGCUAAGGAUGGCCCGUCCAUUGCCGGGGGGUAGGCUGCUGAAGCCCACGGGCAACCGUGCGGCUUAGAUAAAUGACAGACGCCAGCUCUCUGAGCGGGCACAUAACCCGGCUUAUAACGCUUCUGCCCUU
RNAcentral lists this RNase P RNA (368 nucleotides) under Muribaculaceae bacterium. RNAcentral describes it as "RNase P RNA component class A". It matches the Rfam family "Bacterial RNase P class A". From Rfam's summary of the family: Ribonuclease P (RNase P) is a ubiquitous endoribonuclease, found in archaea, bacteria and eukarya as well as chloroplasts and mitochondria. Lineage: Bacteria; Pseudomonadati; Bacteroidota; Bacteroidia; Bacteroidales; Muribaculaceae. The record is from RNAcentral.